UGAAAUCAACUGAGAUC
Molecule: ribosomal RNA, 17 nt
Filed under: Lichtheimia corymbifera
Lineage: Eukaryota; Fungi; Mucoromycota; Mucoromycetes; Mucorales; Lichtheimiaceae
Also listed under: 2 other names
Description: partial 28S ribosomal RNA
Source: RNAcentral